GACGAACGCUGGCGGCGUGCCUAAUACAUGCAAGUCGAACGCUUCACUUCGGUGAAGAGUGGCGAACGGGUGAGUAAUACAUAAGUAACCUGGCAUCUACAGGGGGAUAACUGAUGGAAACGUCAGCUAAGACCGCAUAGGUGUAGAGAUCGCAUGAAGUCGAAACGAAAAGUGAUACGGGACUGGUAGAUGAUGGACUUAUGGCGCAUUAGCUGGUUGGUAGGGUAACGGCCUACCAAGGCGACGAUGCGUAGCCGACCUGAGAGGGUGACCGGCCACACUGGGACUGAGACACGGCCCAGACUCCUACGGGAGGCAGCAGUAGGGAAUUUUCGGCAAUGGGGGAAACCCUGACCGAGCAACGCCGCGUGAAGGAAGAAGUAAUUCGUUAUGUAAACUUCUGUCAUAGAGGAAGAACGGUGGAUAUAGGGAAUGAUAUCCAAGUGACGGUACUCUAUAAGAAAGCCACGGCUAACUACGUGCCAGCCGCCGCAGUAA
RNAcentral lists this ribosomal RNA (498 nucleotides) under uncultured bacterium. RNAcentral's name for it is "partial 16S ribosomal RNA". It matches the Rfam family "Bacterial small subunit ribosomal RNA", at positions 28 to 523 of the family's 1533-position model. The record is from RNAcentral.